CAGCCGCCGCGGGAAAACGAAGGGGGCUAGCGUUGUUCGGAAUUACUGGGCGUAAAGCGCACGUAGGCGGAUAUUUAAGUCAGGGGUGAAAUCCCAGAGCUCAACUCUGGAACUGCCUUUGAUACUGGGUAUCUUCAGUAUGGAAGAGGUGAGUGGAAUUCCGAGUGUAGAGGUGAAAUUCGUAGAUAUUCGCAAGAACACCAGUGGCGAAGGCGGCUUACUGGCUCGAAACUGACGCUGAGGCGCGAAAGCGUGGGGAGCAAACAGGAUUAGAUACCCCCGUAGUCCCUGUCUCUUAUAC
This 301-nucleotide ribosomal RNA is filed under the name uncultured bacterium. RNAcentral describes it as "partial 16S ribosomal RNA". It matches the Rfam family "Bacterial small subunit ribosomal RNA", at positions 509 to 807 of the family's 1533-position model. The record is from RNAcentral.